CAUCCUUUGACCGCUCUAGAGAUAGAGUCUUCCCCUUCGGGGGACAAAGUGACAGGUGGUGCAUGGUUGUCGUCAGCUCGUGUCGUGAGAUGUUGGGUUAAGUCCCGCAACGAGCGCAACCCUUAAGCUUAGUUGCCAUCAUUAAGUUGGGCACUCUAAGUUGACUGCCGGUGACAAACCGGAGGAAGGUGGGGAUGACGUCAAAUCAUCAUGCCCCUUAUGAUUUGGGCUACACACGUGCUACAAUGGACAAUACAAAGGGCAGCUAAACCGCGAGGUCAAGCAAAUCCCAUAAAGUUGUUCUCAGUUCGGAUUGUAGUCUGCAACUCGACUACAUGAAGCUGGAAUCGCUAGUAAUCGUAGAUCAGCAUGCUACGGUGAAUACGUUCCCGGGUCUUGUACACACCGCCCGUCACACCACGAGAGUUUGUAACACCCGAAGCCGGUGGAGUAACC
This 456-nucleotide ribosomal RNA is filed under the name Staphylococcus warneri. RNAcentral's name for it is "bacterial SSU rRNA". It matches the Rfam family "Bacterial small subunit ribosomal RNA", at positions 985 to 1440 of the family's 1533-position model. The record is from RNAcentral. Lineage: Bacteria; Bacillati; Bacillota; Bacilli; Caryophanales; Staphylococcaceae.